CAGCAGCCGCGGUAAUACGUAGGUGGCAAGCGUUGUCCGGAAUUAUUGGGCGUAAAGGGCUCGCAGGCGGUUUCUUAAGUCUGAUGUGAAAGCCCCCGGCUCAACCGGGGAGGGUCAUUGGAAACUGGGAAACUUGAGUGCAGAAGAGGAGAGUGGAAUUCCACGUGUAGCGGUGAAAUGCGUAGAGAUGUGGAGGAACACCAGUGGCGAAGGCGACUCUCUGGUCUGUAACUGACGCCGAGGAGCGGAAGCGUGGGGAGCGAACAGGAUUAGAUACCCCCGUAGUCCCUGUCUCUUAUAC
Molecule: ribosomal RNA, 301 nt
Filed under: uncultured bacterium
Lineage: Bacteria
Description: partial 16S ribosomal RNA
Rfam family: Bacterial small subunit ribosomal RNA
Source: RNAcentral